Molecule: ribosomal RNA, 1482 nt
Filed under: uncultured bacterium
Lineage: Bacteria
Description: bacterial SSU rRNA
Rfam family: Bacterial small subunit ribosomal RNA
Source: RNAcentral
GACGAACGCUGGCGGCGUGCCUAAUACAUGCAAGUUGAGCGCUGAAGGUUGGUACUUGUACCAACUGGAUGAGCAGCGAACGGGUGAGUAACGCGUGGGGAAUCUGCCUUUGAGCGGGGGACAACAUUUGGAAACGAAUGCUAAUACCGCAUAAAAUCUUUAAACACAAGUUUUAAGUUUGAAAGAUGCAAUUGCAUCACUCAAAGAUGAUCCCGCGUUGUAUUAGCUAGUUGGUGAGGUAAAGGCUCACCAAGGCGAUGAUACAUAGCCGACCUGAGAGGGUGAUCGGCCACAUUGGGACUGAGACACGGCCCAAACUCCUACGGGAGGCAGCAGUAGGGAAUCUUCGGCAAUGGACGAAAGUCUGACCGAGCAACGCCGCGUGAGUGAAGAAGGUUUUCGGAUCGUAAAACUCUGUUGGUAGAGAAGAACGUUGGUGAGAGUGGAAAGCUCAUCAAGUGACGGUAACUACCCAGUAAGGGACGGCUAACUACGUGCCAGCAGCCGCGGUAAUACGUAGGUCCCGAGCGUUGUCCGGAUUUAUUGGGCGUAAAGCGAGCGCAGGUGGUUUAUUAAGUCUGGUGUAAAAGGCAGUGGCUCAACCAUUGUAUGCAUGGAAACUGGUAGACUUGAGUGCAGGAGAGGAGAGUGGAAUUCCAUGUGUAGCGGUGAAAUGCGUAGAUAUAUGGAGGAACACCGGUGGCGAAAGCGGCUCUCUGGCCUGUAACUGACACUGAGGCUCGAAAGCGUGGGGAGCAACAGGAUUAGAUACCCUGGUAGUCCACGCCGUAAACGAUGACAACUAGCUGUCGGGGCACUUGGUGCUUCGGCGGCGCAGCUAACGCAUUAAGUUGUCCGCCUGGGGAGUACGGUCGCAAGAUUAAAACUCAAAGGAAUUGACGGGGGCCUGCACAAGCGGUGGAGCAUGUGGUUUAAUUCGAAGCAACGCGCAGAACCUUACCAGCGUUUGACAUGGUAGGACGACUUCCAGAGAUGGAUUUCUCCCUUCGGGGCCUACACACAGGUGCUGCAUGGCUGUCGUCAGCUCGUGUCGUGAGAUGUUGGGUUAAGUCCCGCAACGAGCGCAACCCUCGUCCUUAGUUGCAACCAUUCAGUUGUGCACUCUAAGGAAACUGCCGGUGAUAAGCCGGAGGAAGGUGGGGACGACGUCAAGUCCUCAUGGCCCUUACACGCUGGGCUACACACGUGCUACAAUGGCGGUGACAGUGGGUUGCCACUCCGCGAGGAGGAGCUAAUCCCAAAAAGCCGUCUCAGUUCGGAUUGCACUCUGCAACUCGAGUGCAUGAAGGCGGAAUCGCUAGUAAUCGCGGAUCAGCAUGCCGCGGUGAAUACGUUCCCAGGCCUUGUACACAGCGCCCGUCACACCAUGGGAGUUGGAUUGACCCGAAGGCUGUGGGCUAACCCGCAAGGGAGGCAGCAGACCACGGUCGGUUCAGCGACUGGGGUAAAGUCGUAACAAGG